This 520-nucleotide small RNA is filed under the name uncultured Glomus. RNAcentral's name for it is "SSU rRNA". It matches the Rfam family "Eukaryotic small subunit ribosomal RNA", at positions 569 to 1093 of the family's 1831-position model. The record is from RNAcentral. Lineage: Eukaryota; Fungi; Glomeromycota; Glomeromycetes; Glomerales; Glomeraceae.
AGCAGCCGCGGUAAUUCCAGCUCCAAUAGCGUAUAUUAAAGUUGCUGCAGUUAAAAAGCUCGUAGUUGAAUUUCGGGACUAAUAUGUCGGUCGUGCCUCGGUACGUACUGGUUUAUUGGUUUCUCCUUUCUGAAGAACCAUGAUGUCAUUUAUUUGGUGUCGUGGGGAAUCAGGACUGUUACUUUGAAAAAAUUAGAGUGUUUAAAGCAGGCUCACGCUUGAAUACAUUAGCAUGGAAUAAUGAAAUAGGACGUUUGAUUCUAUUUUGUUGGUUUCUAGGAUCGACGUAAUGAUUAAUAGGGAUAGUUGGGGGCAUUAGUAUUCAAUUGUCAGAGGUGAAAUUCUUGGAUUUAUUGAAGACUAACUACUGCGAAAGCAUUUGCCAAGGAUGUUUUCAUUAAUCAAGAACGAAAGUUAGGGGAUCGAAGACGAUCAGAUACCGUCGUAGUCUUAACCAUAAACUAUGCCGACUAGGGAUCGGAUGAUGUUAAUUUUUAAUGACUCAUUCGGCGCCUUACGG